AAAGAAACUAAAAAAGUAGAAAAAAAUGGAGGGUCCGUGGGCUCAUUUUCGAGAUAUAAGCCAUUGAAAAUUUGGCGGGAAAUAAUUCUCUCUAGAUCUUUCAUGCAUUUAACAUUGGCACCUUAUUUGUUUCAAAAACUAUGAAAAAAUAACAAGAAUUAUAUAAAAUUUUGAAAUAUGGCUUUUUAAACUUUAUGUUAUAAAAUUAUGAAACAAAGUAGGGGUUGGUGGGCA
RNAcentral lists this long non-coding RNA (234 nucleotides) under Mytilus galloprovincialis (Mediterranean mussel). Lineage: Eukaryota; Metazoa; Mollusca; Bivalvia; Mytilida; Mytilidae. The record is from RNAcentral.